This 404-nucleotide RNase P RNA is filed under the name Bacillota bacterium. Its description in RNAcentral is "RNase P RNA component class A". It matches the Rfam family "Bacterial RNase P class A". From Rfam's summary of the family: Ribonuclease P (RNase P) is a ubiquitous endoribonuclease, found in archaea, bacteria and eukarya as well as chloroplasts and mitochondria. Its best characterised activity is the generation of mature 5'-ends of tRNAs by cleaving the 5'-leader elements of precursor-tRNAs. Lineage: Bacteria; Bacillati; Bacillota. The record is from RNAcentral.
UAAGCAGGCUAGGUAGUCGCGGGCGGCAUUGAGCUGCCUGAGGAAAGUCCGGGCUCCACAGGGCAGGGCGCUGGGUAACGCCCAGCGAGGGUGACCUCAGGGAAAGUGCCACAGAAACAUACCGCCUUUGAUACAGGCUGUUUUCGUCACCGGAGACAUGCCCAGCCUCCUGGUGGCCAACGAAAGGCCAGUAUCAAAGGUAAGGGUGAAAAGGUAGUGUAAGAGACUACCGGCAGCCGGGUGACCGGCUGGCCAGGCAAACCCCGUCCGGAGCAAGACCAAAUAGGGGGGCGAUGACGCGGCCCGUAGAGCCCCCGGGUAUGGUCGCUUGAGGGAAAAGGCAACUUUUCUCCCAGAUAGAUGACUACCCGUGACAGAACCCGGCUUAUAGGCCUGCUUACCGC